This 1181-nucleotide long non-coding RNA is filed under the name Homo sapiens (human). RNAcentral describes it as "HSALNT0351611". The record is from RNAcentral. Lineage: Eukaryota; Metazoa; Chordata; Mammalia; Primates; Hominidae.
CAGAUACCACGUCCUUGGGUUGGAGCCCCUUCUCUACUCACGUUGGACAUAGAAUCACUUUUCCAAUCAGAUGGAGUCUCGCUCUGUCGCCAGGCUGGAGUGCAGUGGAAUGAUCUUGGCUCACUGCAACCUCCGUCUCCCAGGUUCAAGCAAUUCUCCUUUCUCUGCCUCCUGAGUAGCUGGGACUACAGGCAUGUACUACCACGCCCAGCUAAUUUUUUGUAUUUUUAGUAGAGAUGGGGUUUCACCAUGCUGGCCAGGAUGGUCUCAAUCUCUUGACCUCGUGAUCCUCCUGCCUCGGCCUCCCAAAAUGCUGGGAUUAUGGGCGUGAGCCACCACAUCCGGCCCAGAGAGUCUUAAAAUUUUAUGCAGGACUGGGCUUCACCCCCAAAAGAUUCUAGUUUAAUCGAGCUGGUGGUAGGGUCACGGUGUCUGUCAUUUUGAAGGUUCUCCUGGUAAUCUUAAUAAGCAGCAAGAUGUGUAUUAAGGACUGCUGCAGCCACACAGAACAACCACCUCUCUCCAAACCGUGCAGCUGCUUUCCCUGUUUUUAUUCUGCACAUGCUUUCCCUGCAGCCUGCAACAAAACUUCUACUCAUUCUUCACAACCCAGGUUACCAAACCUCCUCUGGGAAGAUGUCCCUAGAGUUUUUUCCAGCAGAGUUAACUCUUUCCUUUGUUUGAGUUCACUCUUUGUGUGUACUCGGUUGUAGCAUAGAUUAUAUUGAAUUGUAAUUAUGUAUUUUUAAUGUCUUUUUUCCUCAGUAGGGAAAACUAAGUUGCGACUAUCUUUGGGACAGAGAAUCUGGCUUAUUUACUUUUUUUUAAACUGCAGAACCUUUUAUAUAGUUGGUUCUCUAUAAAUAAUUGAUGAUUGAAUGAACGAGUUAAGUCAAGCUUUGACCAAUCCAAGUAAGUAUCCUUCAGGUGUCCUCAGUCCUCCAAGCAUCUGCACCAGAAAGUUACCCCCAACCCCACCAACUCUUUACAGUCCACACAAAGAAAACAAAAGAAGGCCAACAAGCAAACAACAAACACCCCAGAAACAGAUGUGUGCAUAAUAGUACACGUCCUGGCUACCACAGAAGAAAUAUCAGGAAGAAAUUGUAAGAUCCAUAAGGGCAGGAAUUUUUUGUUGGUUUUGAUCUUUGCUGUAUUUCCAGCACCUAGCCAAGUGCCUG